UACAGAGGUGGCAAGCGUUGUUCGGAAUUACUGGGCGUAAAGGGCGCGUAGGCGGCCUUCUAAGUCGAACGUGAAAUCCCCGGGCUCAACCCGGGAACUGCGUCCGAUACUGGAAGGCUUGAAUCCGGGAGAGGGAUGCGGAAUUCCAGGUGUAGCGGUGAAAUGCGUAGAUAUCUGGAGGAACACCGGUGGCGAAGGCGGCAUCCUGGACCGACAUUGACGCUGAGGCGCGAAAGCCAGGGGAGCAAACGGG
This 253-nucleotide ribosomal RNA is filed under the name uncultured bacterium. RNAcentral's name for it is "partial 16S ribosomal RNA". It matches the Rfam family "Bacterial small subunit ribosomal RNA", at positions 524 to 776 of the family's 1533-position model. The record is from RNAcentral.